CGCUCCCGCCGCCGGGCGGGGGCGGACGGGGCCGGCCGUGGGGCGGGGAGCUGCGGCCGAGCUGAGCCGCAGUGGACGCGGUGAAAGGAGCGGCCCUGCGGGGGGGUCCUGCGGAGUCUCCCGCCCUUGCCCUGCGUGGGAGACGGGCCCGGCCCCGCCUGCUGCGGAAGCUGGGCGAGGUUCCCCUUCUGCCCACGGCGCUUACCUCACCUCACUUCCCUCUUCAGCCUACCUGUUACCAGCUCCAGCCCGCCUCAGCUACCGCACCUCAGUUCCCCUCUCAGCCUACCUCAUUGCCCCCUCAGCCCACCUCAGUUCUCCCAUGUGGGGCAUGCCUCAGGCCUCAUUAGCGCAGAGCGGAGCGUUGAGAGGAGGUCUUCUGCAAAUGGCCCAGGAAUAAAGCAGGAGGGUCGCUUACUGUUGCAGCCUUAGGGGCAGGGCAGCAGAGGAAGCGGUUUGUGGUGCCUUGAGGCGGUCACAGAAUCACACCCACAGCAGAGUGAGGGGUGGAAGGGACCUCUAGAGAUCAGCUGUUCCAACCUACAGGUUGUCCAGGAUCACAAUGCCCGGGUAGGUUUGGAAACUCUUCUGGGGAGACUCCAACACCUUCUGGGCAGUCAGACUUGCCAUAGGAAGCACUGCCCUUGGCAGCCAGCAGCCUAAGGCACGAAGCAGAGGACACCCCAGCACAGCCACGGCAGAGCAGCCGCCGCUCCCCUGGAGGGGAUUCUGGAAACUGAACAGAAGGCUACUGUGUUGUGAGUCCUGCUCAAGACCCAUGCCAUGGUGUGCUCCACAGUGCAGACCACACCAGGUCUUCAUAAACCAGCCUUUAUGCAGUGCAGUCUGCAAGCACAAUGCCAAAUCAAAGUUUUGUACCCCGAACCAUAAAGAAGAAAAGGAUUGGCAGUGUCUCUCUUCAGUUGCACUGUGGUUAAAACUAAGAGUUAAAAACUGCUCGAGAGAUUUCUGUAAUAAACGGAAGGAAUUUGGUUUGGGUUGGGUUUCUUUUUUUUUUGCAUAGGCAGAAUGCAAAACUUAAUUAUCAACCAAAGUUCCAUUCUGCCUUUCUCUCUGGAGGCUUUUGAGAGACCUUCUAGCAGCCUGCCAGUAUUUGAA
Long non-coding RNA from Pogoniulus pusillus (Red-fronted tinkerbird), 1119 nucleotides. RefSeq lists it as uncharacterized. The record is from RefSeq and is a predicted model, not a curated record. Lineage: Eukaryota; Metazoa; Chordata; Aves; Piciformes; Lybiidae. The transcript is spliced from 2 exons.